ACAUGCAAGUCGAACGCGAGAGGGGCUUCGGCCCCAAUUGAGUGGCAAACGGGUGAGUAACGCGUGGGUGACCUACCUUCGAGUGGGGGAUAACGUCUCGAAAGGGACGCUAAUACCGCAUGACAUCCUGCCUUUGGACAGGCGGAGAUCAAAGCCGGGGAUCGCAAGACCUGGCGCUGGGAGAGGGGCCCGCGUCCGAUUAGCUAGUUGGUGGGGUAAUGGCUCACCAAGGCUUCGAUCGGUAGCCGGCCUGAGAGGGCGGACGGCCACACUGGGACUGAGACACGGCCCAGACUCCUACGGGAGGCAGCAGUGGGGAAUUGUUCGCAAUGGGCGCAAGCCUGACGACGCAACGCCGCGUGGAGGAUGAAGGUCUUCGGAUUGUAAACUCCUGUUGACCGGGACGAACAUCCAUCGGGUUAAUAACCCGGAGGACUGACGGUACCGGUUGAGGAAGCCCCGGCUAACUCUGUGCCAGCAGCCGCGGUAAUACAGAGGGGGCAAGCGUUGUUCGGAAUUACUGGGCGUAAAGGGCGCGUAGGCGGCCACUUAAGUCAGACGUGAAAUCCCUCGGCUCAACCGGGGAACUGCGUCUGAUACUGGGUGGCUUGAAUUCGGGAGAGGAAUGCGGAAUUCCAGGUGUAGCGGUGAGAUGCGUAGAUAUCUGGAGGAACACCGGUGGCGAAGGCGGCAUUCUGGACCGACAUUGACGCUGAGGCGCGAAAGCCAGGGGAGCAAACGGGAUUAGAUACCCCGGUAGUCCUGGCCCUAAACGAUGAAUGCUUGGUGUGGCGGGUAUCGAUCCCUGCCGUGCCGAAGCUAACGCAUUAAGCAUUCCGCCUGGGGAGUACAGUCGCAAGGCUGAAACUCAAAGGAAUUGACGGGGGCCCGCACAAGCGGUGGAGCAUGUGGUUUAAUUCGACGCAACGCGAAGAACCUUACCCAGGCUCGAAAUGCAGGUGAUCGACGGCGAAAGUCGUUUUCCGCAAGGACACCUGUAUAGGUGCUGCAUGGCUGUCGUCAGCUCGUGUCGUGAGAUGUUGGGUUAAGUCCCGCAACGAGCGCAACCCCUGUUGCUAGUUACAAGUGUCUAGCGAGACUGCCGGUCUGAAACCGGAGGAAGGUGGGGAUGACGUCAAGUCAGCAUGGUCUUUAUGUCCAGGGCUAUACACACGCUACAAUGGUCAGUACAGUAGGUAGCCACCUCGCGAGAGGGCGCUAAUCCUCAAAGCUGGUCUCAGUUCGGAUUGCAGUCUGCAACUCGACUGCAUGAAGGUGGAGUUGCUAGUAACCGCGCGUCAGCCAUAGUGCGGUGAUGCGUUCCCGGGCAUUGCACACACCG
Molecule: ribosomal RNA, 1342 nt
Filed under: uncultured bacterium
Lineage: Bacteria
Description: bacterial SSU rRNA
Rfam family: Bacterial small subunit ribosomal RNA
Source: RNAcentral